RNAcentral lists this ribosomal RNA (253 nucleotides) under uncultured bacterium. Its description in RNAcentral is "partial 16S ribosomal RNA". It matches the Rfam family "Bacterial small subunit ribosomal RNA", at positions 524 to 776 of the family's 1533-position model. The record is from RNAcentral.
UACGGAGGGGGCUAGCGUUGUUCGGAAUCAUUGGGCGUAAAGCGCGUGUAGGCGGCUCGGUAAGUCUGCUGUGAAAGUCCAGGGCUCAACCCUGGGAUGCCGGUGGAUACUGUCGAGCUCGAGUCCGGAAGAGGAGAGUGGAAUUCCUGGUGUAGCGGUGAAAUGCGCAGAUAUCAGGAAGAACACCCGUGGCGAAGGCGGCUCUCUGGGACGGUACUGACGCUGAGACGCGAAAGCGUGGGGAGCGAACAGG